This 423-nucleotide ribosomal RNA is filed under the name uncultured bacterium. RNAcentral describes it as "partial 16S ribosomal RNA". It matches the Rfam family "Bacterial small subunit ribosomal RNA", at positions 359 to 774 of the family's 1533-position model. The record is from RNAcentral.
GAAUUUUGGACAAUGGGCGAAAGCCUGAUCCAGCAAUGCCGCGUGCAGGAUGAAGGCCUUCGGGUUGUAAACUGCUUUUGUACGGAACGAAAAUCUUUGGGUUCUUACCCUGGAGUCCUUACUGUACCGUAAGAAUAAGCACCGGCUAACUACGUGCCAGCAGACGCGUGCAUACGUAGGGUGCAAGCGUUAAUCGGAAUUUCUGGGCGUAAAGCGUGCUCAGGCGGUUUUGUAAGACAGAGGUGAAAUCCCCGGGCUCAACCUGGGAACUGCCUUUGUGACUGCAAGGCUAGAGUACGGCAGAGGGGGGUGGAAUUCCGCGUGUAGCAGUGAAAUGCGUAGAUAUGCGGAGGAACACCGAUGGCGAAGGCAACCCCCUGGGCCUGUACUGACGCUCAUGCACGAAAGCGUGGGGAGCAAACA